This 680-nucleotide unclassified non-coding RNA is filed under the name Dendrophthora dalstroemii. RNAcentral's name for it is "sequence contains ITS1, 5.8S rRNA gene, ITS2". The stretch from base 260 to 419 matches the Rfam family "5.8S ribosomal RNA". The record is from RNAcentral. Lineage: Eukaryota; Viridiplantae; Streptophyta; Magnoliopsida; Santalales; Viscaceae.
UUUCCGUAGGUGAACCUGCGGAAGGAUCAUUGUCGAUGCCUUAAAAUGGGUGACCCGAGAACAUGUUGAACAACGCAGAGUGCUUAUGACAACACAUGAUCUAAUGACAUGUGUCGAUUAACACUUUCGUGCACCUUAGGGUGCGCAGCUGAACAUAAUUGGCACGGGAUGUGCUAAGGAAAGCCGUUCAAAGGAACCUCCUCCUAAUGCAUGUUCAUAACAUGUCAGCAGCGGGGUACCAAACAUUAAACAUCUAAAUGACUCUCGACAACGGAUAUCUUGGCUCUUGCAUCGAUGAAGAACGCAGCGAAAUGCGAUACGUGGUGUGAAUUGCAGAAUCCCGUGAACCAUUGAAUUUUUGAACGCAAGUUGCGCCCAAUGCCAUUUUAUCGGUUGAGGGCAUGCCUGCCUGGGCGUCACGCACGGAACUCCGCCCCUAACAUCCCCCCCUGACAAAUAGGGGGUUCAGAUGGGUAAGUCGGUAUGGGGUGGGUUAUGGCCUCCCGUUUUUCGUUGCACGGUUGGUUGAAAUUCAGAGCCUCAGGUGACGUGUGGCGCGAUGAGUUACGGGUAGUGAACCCCCCAUGUGUCAUCCAUGGAGAAGCCUUGGUUGGCCCGAUGAGAAAAUCCCAUUCCGAUUCAGAACAUCGGGAGAUGGGAAGGGAAAAUUGUGCGACCUC